GUUUUUGGAUAAAUUUCACAGAACUAUUUACAUUUAUCAAAAUGUAUUUUAACUAUAUGGUAAAUUUGGAAUCUCUUAAGCUUGUUCGACCGUAAUAAUAUUAUAAAGAUUAUGGAUAGUAACAAUACCAUACAUAUGCAUUAUGCAAAUAUAUUCACCUGUUUUGCUAUAUAUAUAGUACAAAUAUUACAAGGGACCUUAUUAUAAUAUAAUAAUAUAACCGUUGAUGUAAUCAUAUGCAGUUGGUAAGUGAUGUAGUCGGUACGUAUCUGUGCUCCCGAUUAGGAGAAUUUUAUUUUAAACUAGG
This 307-nucleotide long non-coding RNA is filed under the name Brassica napus (rape). Its description in RNAcentral is "long non-coding RNA (BNAP_LNC007691)". The record is from RNAcentral. Lineage: Eukaryota; Viridiplantae; Streptophyta; Magnoliopsida; Brassicales; Brassicaceae.